UACGGAGGGUGCAAACGUUGCUCGGAAUUAUUGGGCGUAAAGCGCACGUAGGCGGCCGAAUAAGUCGGGUGUGAAAGCCCUGGGCUCAACCCAGGAAGUGCACUCGAAACUGCUCGGCUUGAAUAUGGAAGAGGGUCGCGGAAUUCCCGGUGUAGAGGUGAAAUUCGUAGAUAUUGGGAAGAACACCAGUGGCGAAGGCGGCUCACUGGCCCGCAACUGACGCUGAGGCGCGAAAGCGUGGGGAGCAAACAGG
This 253-nucleotide ribosomal RNA is filed under the name uncultured bacterium. RNAcentral describes it as "partial 16S ribosomal RNA". It matches the Rfam family "Bacterial small subunit ribosomal RNA", at positions 524 to 776 of the family's 1533-position model. The record is from RNAcentral.